Triticum aestivum (bread wheat) is the source of this 364-nucleotide long non-coding RNA. RefSeq lists it as uncharacterized. The record is from RefSeq and is a predicted model, not a curated record. Lineage: Eukaryota; Viridiplantae; Streptophyta; Magnoliopsida; Poales; Poaceae. The transcript has 4 exons.
UCAAGUAGCUCCAGCAAUCACGUGCUCACUCUUGCUUCACAGACUAUGUAUGGUCAGUUCAGAAAAUUGGAGGUUUUAGGAUCUUUGGAAGUUUUUUGAGGCAUCACCCUUCUUGUCCGCAGUUAAAAGGUUUGACGCAGUACAGUGCGGGGGAGGCGGUGUCCUCUGCAGCUAGGUCUACUUGCUGGCGACCUCACCAUCACCAACCCAUCUACAGCCUACUUGAAUGGAUAUGGUUCUUGAGAGGCCAUUUCUUAUGCAUCAGGCCCUGAAGGUGGAUGUUGCUUGUAUGCUAAGCAAGGAAGAGGCAUGCCCUACCUGGCAGCGACCACCUUCCACUCAAGGGAUAUAGCACUAUCAUUUA